GAUUAAGUUAUUAAGGGCGCACGGUGGAUGCCUUGGCACUAGAAGCCGAUGAAGGACGUUACUAACGACGAUAUGCUUUGGGGAGCUGUAAGUAAGCUUUGAUCCAGAGAUUUCCGAAUGGGGAAACCCAGCAUGAGUUAUGUCAUGUUAUCGAUGUGUGAAUACAUAGCAUAUUAGAAGGCACACCCGGAGAACUGAAACAUCUUAGUACCCGGAGGAAGAGAAAGAAAAUUCGAUUCCCUUAGUAGCGGCGAGCGAAACGGGAAGAGCCCAAACCAACAAGCUUGCUUGUUGGGGUUGUAGGACACUCUAUACGGAGUUACAAAGGACGACAUUAGACGAAUCAUCUGGAAAGAUGAAUCAAAGAAGGUAAUAAUCCUGUAGUCGAAAAUGUUGUCUCUCUUGAGUGGAUCCUGAGUACGACGGAGCACGUGAAAUUCCGUCGGAAUCUGGGAGGACCAUCUCCUAAGGCUAAAUACUCUCUAGUGACCGAUAGUGAACCAGUACCGUGAGGGAAAGGUGAAAAGCACCCCGGAAGGGGAGUGAAAUAGAACCUGAAACCGUGUGCUUACAAGUAGUCAGAGCCCGUUAAUGGGUGAUGGCGUGCCUUUUGUAGAAUGAACCGGCGAGUUACGAUUUGAUGCAAGGUUAAGCAGUAAAUGUGGAGCCGUAGCGAAAGCGAGUCUGAAUAGGGCGUUUAGUAUUUGGUCGUAGACCCGAAACCAGGUGAUCUACCCUUGGUCAGGUUGAAGUUCAGGUAACACUGAAUGGAGGACCGAACCGACUUACGUUGAAAAGUGAGCGGAUGAACUGAGGGUAGCGGAGAAAUUCCAAUCGAACCUGGAGAUAGCUGGUUCUCUCCGAAAUAGCUUUAGGGCUAGCCUCAAGUGAUGAUUAUUGGAGGUAGAGCACUGUUUGGACGAGGGGCCCCUCUCGGGUUACCGAAUUCAGACAAACUCCGAAUGCCAAUUAAUUUAACUUGGGAGUCAGAACAUGGGUGAUAAGGUCCGUGUUCGAAAGGGAAACAGCCCAGACCACCAGCUAAGGUCCCAAAAUAUAUGUUAAGUGGAAAAGGAUGUGGCGUUGCCCAGACAACUAGGAUGUUGGCUUAGAAGCAGCCAUCAUUUAAAGAGUGCGUAAUAGCUCACUAGUCGAGUGACACUGCGCCGAAAAUGUACCGGGGCUAAACAUAUUACCGAAGCUGUGGAUUGUCCUUUGGACAAUGGUAGGAGAGCGUUCUAAGGGCGUUGAAGCAUGAUCGUAAGGACAUGUGGAGCGCUUAGAAGUGAGAAUGCCGGUGUGAGUAGCGAAAGACGGGUGAGAAUCCCGUCCACCGAUUGACUAAGGUUUCCAGAGGAAGGCUCGUCCGCUCUGGGUUAGUCGGGUCCUAAGCUGAGGCCGACAGGCGUAGGCGAUGGAUAACAGGUUGAUAUUCCUGUACCACCUAUAAUCGUUUUAAUCGAUGGGGGGACGCAGUAGGAUAGGCGAAGCGUGCGAUUGGAUUGCACGUCUAAGCAGUAAGGCUGAGUAUUAGGCAAAUCCGGUACUCGUUAAGGCUGAGCUGUGAUGGGGAGAAGACAUUGAGUCUUCGAGUCGUUGAUUUCACACUGCCGAGAAAAGCCUCUAGAUAGAAAAUAGGUGCCCGUACCGCAAACCGACACAGGUAGUCAAGAUGAGAAUUCUAAGGUGAGCGAGCGAACUCUCGUUAAGGAACUCGGCAAAAUGACCCCGUAACUUCGGGAGAAGGGGUGCUCUUUAGGGUUAACGCCCAGAAGAGCCGCAGUGAAUAGGCCCAAGCGACUGUUUAUCAAAAACACAGGUCUCUGCUAAACCGUAAGGUGAUGUAUAGGGGCUGACGCCUGCCCGGUGCUGGAAGGUUAAGAGGAGUGGUUAGCUUCUGCGAAGCUACGAAUCGAAGCCCCAGUAAACGGCGGCCGUAACUAUAACGGUCCUAAGGUAGCGAAAUUCCUUGUCGGGUAAGUUCCGACCCGCACGAAAGGCGUAACGAUUUGGGCACUGUCUCAACGAGAGACUCGGUGAAAUCAUAGUACCUGUGAAGAUGCAGGUUACCCGCGACAGGACGGAAAGACCCCGUGGAGCUUUACUGUAGCCUGAUAUUGAAAUUCGGCACAGCUUGUACAGGAUAGGUAGGAGCCUUUGAAACGUGAGCGCUAGCUUACGUGGAGGCGCUGGUGGGAUACUACCCUAGCUGUGUUGGCUUUCUAACCCACACCACUUAUCGUGGUGGGAGACAGUGUCAGGCGGGCAGUUUGACUGGGGCGGUCGCCUCCUAAAAGGUAACGGAGGCGCUCAAAGGUUCCCUCAGAAUGGUUGGAAAUCAUUCAUAGAGUGUAAAGGCAUAAGGGAGCUUGACUGCGAGACCUACAAGUCGAGCAGGGUCGAAAGACGGACUUAGUGAUCCGGUGGUUCCGCAUGGAAGGGCCAUCGCUCAACGGAUAAAAGCUACCCCGGGGAUAACAGGCUUAUCUCCCCCAAGAGUUCACAUCGACGGGGAGGUUUGGCACCUCGAUGUCGGCUCAUCGCAUCCUGGGGCUGUAGUCGGUCCCAAGGGUUGGGCUGUUCGCCCAUUAAAGCGGUACGCGAGCUGGGUUCAGAACGUCGUGAGACAGUUCGGUCCCUAUCCGUCGUGGGCGUAGGAAAUUUGAGAGGAGCUGUCCUUAGUACGAGAGGACCGGGAUGGACAUACCUCUGGUGUACCAGUUGUCGUGCCAACGGCAUAGCUGGGUAGCUAUGUGUGGACGGGAUAAGUGCUGAAAGCAUCUAAGCAUGAAGCCCCCCUCAAGAUGAGAUUUCCCAACUUCGGUUAUAAGAUCCCUCAAAGAUGAUGAGGUUAAUAGGUUCGAGGUGGAAGCAUGGUGACAUGUGGAGCUGACGAAUACUAAUCGAUCGAAGACUUAAUCAA
Molecule: ribosomal RNA, 2923 nt
Filed under: Staphylococcus aureus
Lineage: Bacteria; Bacillati; Bacillota; Bacilli; Caryophanales; Staphylococcaceae
Description: 23S ribosomal RNA
Rfam family: Bacterial large subunit ribosomal RNA
Source: RNAcentral